This 369-nucleotide ribosomal RNA is filed under the name Triticum aestivum (bread wheat). RNAcentral describes it as "partial small subunit ribosomal RNA". The record is from RNAcentral. Lineage: Eukaryota; Viridiplantae; Streptophyta; Magnoliopsida; Poales; Poaceae.
AUGGCCGACGUGGAUGUUUCCGGCGAGAAGACAACGUCGCUGAUCAUCGACACGGCGAUUCAGACGGAAUUCCAGUGCGACGCCGAGUCCGGCCCGCCUGCCGGCGCAACCACCGGCAAGAAGAAGCGGAUGCCCGCCCAGCACGUCAGUUACAUCCUGGCCAUGCCGACAGAGAAGCCCGAGGAAUUUGUCCUGCCCAACUUCCUCCGGGGCGACAGCAACAUGGCGGAGAAGAUGGGCGUGACGGAGGAGUGGCUCGAGGAUAGAAGGCGGAUGUACAGGGAAUCCGCCGUCCGUACCCAGAGGGUCCACGACGACUUCGUGAAGUACCAGGCACAGAUCCGCGACGAGCUGUUCGAGAAGGGCUAA